This is a long non-coding RNA of Drosophila novamexicana, 239 nucleotides long. RefSeq lists it as uncharacterized. The record is from RefSeq and is a predicted model, not a curated record. The transcript has 2 exons. NCBI's taxonomy places the organism in Eukaryota, Metazoa, Arthropoda, Insecta, Diptera, Drosophilidae.
ACAGUCACCUUGGCAAGUCGGCAAGGCAUUCAUUUUCGCCGGCUGCCAGUAGAGUAAAGUACUGCAACAAUCUAAUGAGGACUAUAAAGGAUUUCCGAUGUACGAAUAAAUAGAACAACAGAACGCAUAUAAACUUCAAAACAAUUAAGUGUGAUAUAUUAACUUUUAUAUAAAAUCUCAGCGCUGUUGCACGUUCUGAUAAGUUUGCUAACAUAUUAAAUUAGUUCAUGCUAAGCUAU